GACGAACGCUGGCGGCGUGCUUAACACAUGCAAGUCGAACGGAAAGGCCCUGCUUUUGUGGGGUGCUCGAGUGGCGAACGGGUGAGUAACACGUGAGUAACCUGCCCUUGACUUUGGGAUAACUUCAGGAAACUGGGGCUAAUACCGGAUAGGAGCUCCUGCUGCAUGGUGGGGGUUGGAAAGUUUCGGCGGUUGGGGAUGGACUCGCGGCUUAUCAGCUUGUUGGUGGGGUAGUGGCUUACCAAGGCUUUGACGGGUAGCCGGCCUGAGAGGGUGACCGGCCACAUUGGGACUGAGCUACGGCCCAGACUCCUACGGGCGGCAGCGGUGGGGAAUAUUGCACAAUGGGCGGAAGCCUGAUGCAGCAACGCCGCGUGCGGGAUGACGGCCUUCGGGUUGUAAACCGCUUUCGCCUGUGACGAAGCGUGAGUGACGGUAAUGGGUAAAGAAGCACCGGCUAACUACGUG
This 468-nucleotide ribosomal RNA is filed under the name uncultured bacterium. RNAcentral describes it as "partial 16S ribosomal RNA". It matches the Rfam family "Bacterial small subunit ribosomal RNA", at positions 28 to 507 of the family's 1533-position model. The record is from RNAcentral.